UUUUCAUGUUUUUCACCCCCAAACUUAAAAUUUUCGUUGCCCUCAACGAAAUUAGCACAAAGUUUUAAGGAUAGAAAACACCUGAUUUAGUCGGAGUCGGUGUGAUCGGGGUGCUCCUCUCUCGCUCUCUCACGCUCGUCCUCAUCGGAAAGCUCGGGUACGGGCUCAAGAAUGGGUGUCGGUAAAGGUGCCGGCUCGAUGCAAUCGGGCGUCCCGCAUCCCAAGUGUUGGACAAUAGCUUGUAGCAUCUUGCUCGACCACCGUUGAAGUGCCUCCACCGUAUUGACUUUAUGCUCGACGGUAGUCAAUCGGUUCCGAGUAAUUAUCAUCUCUCGCUCCAUCUUCUUGCGGAAUCGUCGAUCGGAACGGGAGCUUGAGGCUUCGGGCUCGUCUCGGGCUUGAAGAGCGGCUUGCGGCUCGUCAUAGGUGGCUUCUUUGAAUAGCGAGGCCGUGUAGUCGGCAAUCGGCUUCCGGAUGUUGAGCUCGAUAUCGUUUGGUAAUUUGGGGACCCUCUUUCUUUUUCACAAACCCGUUACAAGGCUAGGGAAGAAGAUGCCUUUUGUAUUAUUUUGCAUUGUCCUCCAUAAUUGAUCGUACAUGACGGUCCCAAUAUCGACGGGCUUACCCGUGAUAAUGUAAUAGGCGAGCGCACACCGUUCGUGGUUGAUCCGACUAAAUGAAGUAGUCGGGAUUAUGUUGGCACAAAUGAACGUCAACCAUGCUUUGCCUUCAUAAUUAAUGCU
Molecule: long non-coding RNA, 743 nt
Filed under: Erythranthe guttata (spotted monkey flower)
Lineage: Eukaryota; Viridiplantae; Streptophyta; Magnoliopsida; Lamiales; Phrymaceae
Description: long non-coding RNA (EGUT_LNC003143)
Source: RNAcentral